UGGACAAAUUAUUGUAUUCGACUGUAUUCACAGCAUGAAAUAGGGGAUUACACUAUUUUUAAACGGAAAGUGAAUCAAUUAACAUAAUAGACUCCU
Molecule: microRNA precursor, 96 nt
Filed under: Nicotiana sylvestris (wood tobacco)
Lineage: Eukaryota; Viridiplantae; Streptophyta; Magnoliopsida; Solanales; Solanaceae
Also listed under: 1 other name
Description: MIR6152 microRNA precursor family
Rfam family: MIR6152 microRNA precursor family
Source: Rfam by way of RNAcentral